CUACAAAUAUACCAAGAGUAAGUAUUUGUGCCUCAAUAUUGUUUAAUAUUAUUUCUUUCUGGUGUAACAAUGCUGUCUCCGUAGAGAGUCCUGCUAGGAAUACAAACUGUGAUGGUGUGAUGACAGAGUGAAUAUCGAAGAACAUAGUUAGCCUCUUGAAAAUUAUUUUUUCCAGGGCCUUGGAAAAUACUGGCAAUACAGAGAUAGGCCUAUAAUUCCCGCAGUUGUUUUUAUCACCGGUCUUAAACAAAACAGUAACCUUCGCGGCCUUUAACCGCGUCGGAAAAAUUCCAGUCGAUAAGAUAAGGUCAUAGAUAUGCGCCAAGUACCGCGCAAUCAGGUCGACAACAAAACAGACGGGUUGCAUUUUUAGACCAUAAAUGUCUUCACUCUUACUCUUCUUUAAUGUUGUGAAUAUUUGGAGUAUUUCAGAUUCGUCCGUUGGACCCAGAUAUAUGGAUUGUCUUAUCGAAACAGGUAAGUAAGGUUCAGUGUUAACUUGAUCAUCAACAUGGACCAAGCUGGUAAAAUAUUCGUUGAACUUUUCACCCAUUGCCUUUCCCCUGUAGGUAUACCCAUCUACCUUUAUCUCUUGGAUGGUUGUAUGCCGUGUAAAAGGACGUACGACUGAAUUUAAUUUCUGCCACAUUACCUUUGGAAAUUACAACAACAUCAAAUAAUUGUGUGUAAUAGUCGUGCUUUGCUUUUUUAAGUUUUUUAUUGAGAACAUUUCUAUACAAUUUAAAUUCUGCCAACGUGGCAAGGUCUCGGCCAUGCAGAAAUAUUCGAUAUAAUUUGUUUUUUUUCCUUUAUCAUAUUAAGUAACGUCGUUGUCAUCCAUGGUUUCCGCGCCUGUUUAGGUUUCCCUCGAACCUUAUAAGGGAAAUCUUUCUUAUAGACAUGAGCAAAGAUUUCCAUGAACCGUUCAUAGGCUUCAUUGGGAAAAGAACAACGUAUUACUUCUUCCCAGUUCGUAUGAGUAAUUUCGUUCCGAAACAGGUCAAGAGUAUGUGGUGGUGUGAGGUCCUGAAGGAUUACGUUUGGCAACCGUUUUCUCGAUGAUUCAAGAUGCCUCUUGGCAGCAAGAAAAAUGGGUAGGUGAUCGCUAAUUGCUAUAGCGAGUGAGCCGGCGAUCAGCUCGUCAGCAGGUAUGUUUGUAACAAAUAAGUCGAUAAGUGUCGCACUGGUAGCUGUGAUACGUGUCGGAGAAGAUACAACAUUGGAAAACAAGUAUGAAUCAAUAAGAAGUGAAAACUCACGACUCUUUAUAUCGUUUGACAGCAUAUUGAUAUUUAAGUCUCCCCCACGGACCAUAGUAUAAUGACACUCAUUUGCAAAAGAUAGCAGCUUAUCUAAAAAGCACAAAAAAUCGGUUACGUUACCAUCUGGGGGCCGAUAAAUAACCACAAACAGAAAGUGCCCACACUUUACACAGAUAGAUUCCACGCUCUCUGUACAUCCCGAAAACUCGUCUACAUAUUCGUGCGCAGUCUCAGUUAACAAAAACAUGCACACACCUCCUCCUCUUUUGAAUUUCCGAUUUAAGAACACUGACUUGUAUCCAUCAAUACGCAUAACAUCGUCCUCAUUGUAGUACCAUGUUUCCGUUAGCAUUAUAACAGAAAAUUUAAAGUCGAAAAACUGUAAGAGCGCACAAAAUUGAUCAUCUUUCCCUAAUGCUGACUGCAUAUUCAAAUGCAAAGCAGUCAUCGGCGAAACAAAAUUUUCCUUUAACUUUUAUGUUCAAGCUGGAUGGUGCGAUACAGUAUUCCGCCAUUGAUAAAAGAAGUUGGCAAACAGAUGGAUCAGCGAUCUCAGAAGAUAAUCACUCCUAAUCAACUCCUAUAUACCACAAUAAUCAACUCCUAUUCAUAAUCGAAAAAAUUCCUAUAAUGGCCCUAGAACGGUGGCGAAACUCCGUUGUCCAGGCGAAAUUGACAUCGGUCACGUCGCACGUCCUUUCGAAAACAUCGAUCGCGUGACCAGAAGCGUGUAUCUCAGAAGUGUUGGAAUGUAAGCUGACAAUUGAACACCGGUUACUCGGUGUAUUCGCGUAUUCGUUCUUUCUUUCCCUUCCAAGAUUGUGUUGUUUCGUGGGUCGUUAUUAUAAAAUAUAGGCACGUUUCCUAUCAGUUUAGUUGCAAUCUAGGAGUCGCAGCGCUAUGGCCUGAUUGAAUCCGGAAGAGUCCCCGAAGCUUUUUAAAUUCUUUUUUUUUCUUUGUACAACGAAUUUAACACACGGUAAAACGCUGAGGAGGGGGCGUGUUGUACGAAGGUACAGGUCCGGUGAAAUCCCUACAGUUUUGCAACCUGAGGAAGCUGCUCUCUUCUCGGGCAGUCAGGGCCAUAGAUACACGAAUGAAAGUGACGCCGCAUCCAGUGUGAGCAGACUUGAUCCCCCAUAUUUGCCCGCUGUUGCGGGCCUUGCGUGUGCAAAAAGGUUAGAAAAACUAUCACACCUCCCAUUUACGGUAUUGUUCUUGAUGAUAAAACUGAUUUAAUCACUUUGGUUUGCACCUUCAGAGCUACAGAUGAAAAAUAUAAACAAUUUAUAGUGCCCAUAUUGCCAUUUUUAGUGCCUAAAUCGAGAUUUGUAGUGCCUUUUAUAGGCGCCUUGAACAAGGUUUUUUCCGUACCUAAAAAUCCGGGCUCUAGUCAUGACUUUGUGAGAGGAUUAGCACUUUGUGGAGCACCAGGUAUGCUGUUCGGUUCCGGUAUUGGUAUCCAGGAUAUCCCAAAGCUUGAAGUCUCAGAAACCCAGUUGUUUUUGCAGGUUCCAAAAUUUAUUUUGAAAAAAAAAUUCCAAUACUUUAUGUGAAUGUUCCAUGUCUACUUUUAGCGGAGUCAGGAUGUGUAAUUAUCACAGGUUGUUCGAUUUCAAGCGGUCCUCUGAAUAAUAUAUCAAAUACAAAAGUGAAGCAAAGGACAAGUUUAAAAAUGAAGGCAUAGACAGUUACUUCCUGUCACUUCCCAAAUUCCGUCCUUCUGUGAUUGAGUUCUACAAGCUAGAUCUUGUUUUCUGCCUCGGUGUCACUACAUAUCCAUGGCCCGCUUAGCAGUUGCAACUGAAGCUCCUAUACAGGGUGUUCAAAAUUAACCUUUCACGAGCGCUACGCAAACACAGGGAUGACAGGAAACCGGAUGAUAACUUUACGCUACUUGUGUAAGAAACAGGUGCUGCUAAUUAUGUAGCACCUGUUUCUUACUCAAGGAACAGAAAAAUAGCAGCCAGUUUUCUUUUGUUCGCCUAUUUAUAAAGUGCUAGUGAAGGCUUAAUUUUGAACACCCUGCGUAGAAGAACAUGAGUAAGGCUUUUCCAAUUUUUCUUUGAGAAGUGCUGCAAAAAGUUUUCAGGAAGGUAUUAGUCAUGACAUGCAGAGAUAGAGCCGCCAAGAACAUACGCAGUGCACACUUCCUCGCUCUUAUAUCAACUUCAUCUAAGGAUUUGCGGAGAAAAAUCGCGAGACUGAAAAAAAAAGCUAUCCGGGAAUCCCGAUAUUAAAAGAACGAAAAACCGGGAGACACGGGACACGUAGACAAACACGAAGAAGUUCUCAACACUACGUAUCCCGUGUCUCUCGGUUUUUCGUUCUUUUAAUCAUCAUGCACCAGUUGGUCUGCGCCCUGUCCCUUUCGUCGAUUCCCGAUAUUAUUUAGCUAUCUAUUUGCAAGUUCGAGCGACACCUCUUCCGUGUUGCUGAUACACUUUCAUAUAUUUGAGAAGAAUAUUUUCGUGAAAUGUUCUUGGUUGUGAGGCUCUUUCUUACAGAAUGACAGAUUGAUUAUACCAAGUGGCAUCAUAUUGUACCUAGAACUCACUCAGACCUAGACCUAGAAGUAUUGUACACUCUCGCGAAAGAAACGAAUACAAUUACGUUUACAUCCAAUCGUACCCUUACUAAGGGUAAAUUUCAACAAAAGGGUUGACGCCGUAUCCGUCAAGCUGCGUUUUGUUCCUAGUACCCGUAAACGCGCCUGCUGUAAGCAUAAAGGGCGGAUUUUUAUGCGUAAAUGACACGGGGAACAUGAUUCACUCUUAUAUUGGGGCGCAUACGAUUUCACCUUGACGGAUAAACUGAGGCUUUGCGUCGGAAUGUCAGUCCUUUGCGCCUAUAUUGGCGCAUAUCGUUCUUCAUUUUGUUGUACGGGCCCUGCCCUCUGAGAACGCGUGCAUAGUUCCGUGUUCAAUGUGCAAAGCGUCUUUUGUCUUUCACUUGGAUGACUGCCACUCUGACUUCCUGCGUCUCGUUUUUGGUCCUUUGGGGGGGGGGGGGGGCACACACUCGAGAUUUGCGCCUCCCCCCGCCCAUAGCACACUACUUCUUUGGCCGUGCGUUCCGUGGGUGAUCCCUAAGCACAUGACGCCCGGAACGAAACACCGCACAACGUAAUGAACGAAAAGCGUACCAUACCGCAUUCAUAGACCCGUUUCUCUGGGCCAGGUGGCGCGAGUGAGCAGCAACGUCAGCGCCCCAAAUUGUGCAACACGCGGUCGUUUAGCAGACGACGCGGCACUUUCAAAUACACAGUCUCGAGUUGUUCGCAUUUUUCAAGAAGCACCGCUUUUUCUGUGAAUUUCCUACAGGUUUUGUAGCUUCCUUGGCACCAUACCGUUUGAAAUACCAUGCAAAACACGCUGAGGAAACGACCUACUGUUGGGAUCUGUGGGCGUUUGCGCCCGAAAUGGCGCUGUGCAAACUUGACUGCAACAGCCCUAUGGAACCUUUGAUAUAUUUUUUUCUAUUGAAAGGAUAGAAUUUUGCACAAUGCGUUAAUAUAUGCCUUGCAAAGACCACACUUGUGACCGGCUAGCAAUGCCAGCAGAGCUUUACAGACGACAGAUGACUGUCAUCGGUUUCUGGGACGCCAAACACCAUGAACUUCCAGCCAUCCGGCCGCCACUUUUGCGCCCCCUCGGCGGACGUUUGGGGGGAGGGGGCAAUUGCCCCCCCCCCCCCCCCCUGCCCCCCGUAGAUGCCGGCCCUGCUCAUGGCCUCACAUCAUGCACCGUCCAGCAAUGUAAGUUGUUACGUUUUGGGCUCGGUGUCUUGAGUUUCAUUAAAUUUCGCGGAGUUUGUGUCAAACGUAUGGCAGGAAGAAAUGGCAUCGAACGAGACAACUUCGCUCGAUCUAGUGGGCCAAGCACGCGUACGCUGCUUACAAAGCAACAACAACAACAACUUUAUUUCAGGAUGAUUCGCUGCUUACACAGUUGCGAUUGUCCCGGCUAUCUCCACACUGCAAAUACAUAUAUGCGUACGCCUAUUGUCCACCGUGCUGGUGCCUUAUGUGUGGCCAUCUACACGCAGAUCAUUUUGUUGUAGGUAAGACUCUUUAUUCUUUCGUUUUUUUUUUUUUUUGAUGUGCGUUUCCCGCCGUUGAAGCAUCUGUAUUAACGAUUCCUCAAUCUUUUAUCUCUUAGCAGUUCAAAUGAUAAGUGCAGGCUAUAGCGCAGCAUGAUGUGUUGACGGGAAGCAAAUGUGACUCUUCCGCCUUGUAAAGAGAUUUUUUAUAUCGAAGUGACGGUAGCGGUGGUGCAAAACAGGUGUGGGAUACCGCUUCUCGGAGUGCUAACAAUUAUUUAUGCGUUUAAAAAUAUUCAGUUCAAUGAUAUGUUAAAGGACGAAAGCGUUUCCGGUACGCUAAGUGCAUGGUUUUGCAGUUCGUGUUGCGGUUAUGACUAUUUCAUGUAGGAGGUCUCUGAGGAGAUGGACUCAGUUCUGGCGACCCAGGCGAAAAUCUGGACUGGUUCCAGUUGAAUGUCGAUGGUCCCAGCUGGAUUCCCAAGAGGAGUGGCUGGGUCCACUUUGGUGAAAUCAGUGGUACCACUCUGACCUCAGAUGGUUCCAUAAAUUCCAGCUGGAGACUGACAAGUACCAUUUCGUUCCCAGAAUGGUCAAAUAACUCACUUGAGAUGCCAAGCUGAGCAGCUUCCCCCUUUGAGACCUCAUGCGCGAAGAGUCUACUUUUCCCAUACCCUCUGGUUUUGAUCUAUUAUUUUGAUCUGUUUUAGCACACACAUUAUCGCUUUUUAUUGCUUUUUAUCCACUGCGUCUGCGAUAAAAUAAAAUACAUGCUGUAACUUCAGUUCUUGCUCAUAGCCCGGUAGCCAUCUUUAGAACGGGCUACCGAAAGGAUACGGCUACCGGUAGAACAGAGCAGAACAAGGUCAUACAACUAAUAAUAACAAAAAAUCUUACAAUAUGAGAAGCCACAUUUAACGUGGCUUUCUUGUGACCUAUUGAUUUUUUACUAUAGUAGUUCCAGUCUACUGUAUAUACAACUACUUUUUACUAUAGUAGUGCUUGUACGCUGUUGUACCAUCUGACGUCAUUUGUUUGUAAACAGGGAUAGCUCUAUAGCAAUAAGGGCGCCACGGAGUCGCCGUGACGUCAGAGCCGUCGUCGCUCCGCCCACUUGAACUGAAUGAAAGGCGAGCCGUGGCGGCACGGGGGAAUUUCAAGACUGUGCCUCUGCUCCAAAAUCGCGGAAUGGGAGAUUUCAAGGCGAUACCUCUGAUCCAAAAUGGUGCCACUGGCCUUGGCGCCGCCCAUCGUGUGACGUCAAAUGGCGGGCUUUGGGACAGGUUCCUCCCAAUAGCCAAAGGCUUCUAAUAAAUGAAAUUCAAACGGCGAGAGAGUAGCGUGGCAGGUUGCAGUUGGAACUAGGACGCGUCGCAGCAAGUUGGUUUUCUCCUCCGUUGCCGUAGCAGGUGCCGGCUGUGCUGUUUGGGGUUUUUCCUGGGUUUUUCUCAGACAUUUUCAGACCGACACAGUUCCCUUAGAAGUCGGCCAAGGACGCACAUUUCCCCAGGGCGUCAGUCGUGACGUUUCCCACCUGUGUGAGCCGACAAGCCCUUUCACCACCAGCACCGUGGCAGGGAUCGUACAUCUCCUCAACCGUACGAUGAAACGCCAAACGGACUGCACAUAAUGCUUGUUCUGAUGUUAGCAGGUGUGAGUGCCUACCGGUUCUUUGAUUACUAUUAAUUAAAUGUUUCAUUUCAGAAACUAGAACUUGAGAAACAGGAUAAGAGUCUAAUUCGGAACGUUUGGUGAAGAGGAAAGGGGUACAUGUCACGACCUGCAUGGAGGACGGGGGUGUCAUCUUCUCUGAAAAAAUACAAGAUGUGAAGUGGUCAACAGAACGCCAUGCACCCUGUGGUCCGUGAGUGCAUCGCACGGUGAGCAGAAUAAGCAGAAUAAGCACCUAUGGCUCCCGUGCCUCCUCCAAAACAGAGAAAGUUUCCGUAGUCUUUGGAACUCCCAAUCAAAGGCGGAGGCUUCUGGCCUGAAUAUUGAGCAGUUCCCUCUCGUGAGUGUUGGAGAUCCCAUACAGGACAGGCAGGCUAUAACGCAUAAUGCCAAGCAACAGGGAACAAUGCACACGACGGAGGUCAGCACAGGACGGGCCCCGUGAUCCACAGAGGUGCCGGAGCACAUUACAGUAGAUGCAGCCGCUAGUAGAGAGAGAGAGUUGAUCUGCCGCGAUCAUGUCAGUCCCUUAUCAAUGAUUAUGCCUAGGUACCGAUAGUGAUCUUCAAUUCAGAGUGUCACACUGGACACAAUACCGGGCAGUGCGAAAAGAAAUCAAUGCCCUGAUGGAUGGUAUCGAUGAAUAAGACACCACAACAUUUCUGCCUCAUAGCCUUUCUUCCAAUGACGGUGAAGAUUUUUUCUAGCAGCUCUUGUCAUGCCAUCCUGACAAUAAUAAGUGUAUUUGCUCUGUAUAUGUAUUCGUCGUUACUCGCAUCCUCAUUUUUUUUAUCACAUCACAAUCACGAUCUGUAUUUAAUAAUGUGUGUCAGCUAUCUUCCUCUUUCAGAAUCCAGCCUACACUUCGGUCGCAACCCUAUGAAGCUAUCUCGCCGUGAUGUUUGCUUGAACAAAGGAAAAGUACAAAAGCUAGCUGGUGUAACUUUUAAAUCACUGUCUACUUCGUUUCCGCCACUUCAAUGUUUGCUUCUAGAAGUACCAUCUGGAAUGCUGUGUUGUUUUUGUUUUAAAAAUACUCCGGGUAUCCAUAUCAAUAUAACAAGGUUUCAUAGCGAAAAAGCCAAUGUAUAAAAAUGGUAUUUUGUUGAUAGAUUAUAAUUUUCUCACAGUUCGUUGUCAUUUUUUCUUGUGCAAACUGUGUUAUCCUAAAUUGAUACUUUCCGGAAGGUUUCUUCGGACUGAAUGCAUUCGGUAGAAGGUCCACCCACGGCCGUGAGAGAUGUUCUUGAAUACGGUUGCAUACCAGCUUGACUGGUAAUGAGGCGUGUCACUGUGAUUGAAACACAGUUUUAUCGUGCAAAUUGGCCGCUGGACGUUCGAACGCUGGAAAAGGCAUGCUUUCAACGAAAUUGUGCACAGAGGCGUCAUGGUAUCGUAUUAAUAUGUCAGAACUCGCAGUGUUUCUGUUGAAACAGUAACUUUUCCGAUUUCUUUUUGCUGUGUGUGGUGGUCGGUACUGGACACUUGGAUACUAAUGGCCAAGCCGGUUUGGAUUCGAAUACGGACGCAUGUACUAUUUCACUCUUUGUACCUGUUUCAUGUCUCCAUGGCUAAUAAAUGUGUGUAACAAUUCA
Long non-coding RNA from Ornithodoros turicata, 8569 nucleotides. RefSeq lists it as uncharacterized. The transcript has 3 exons. The record is from RefSeq and is a predicted model, not a curated record. NCBI's taxonomy places the organism in Eukaryota, Metazoa, Arthropoda, Arachnida, Ixodida, Argasidae.